ACAAAACACCCAAAAUUAAAUCUAAAUUCAAAAUCUCCGUAAACACCUCCUUCUCACGUCGAUACCAUCUCCGGCCAUCGAUCCGCUGCCGUCAUGUCGUCGACAAUAUCGGAAUCCUCCAAAUCGUGGCCGCGGAAAGGAUCCCUGCGAACCACAGUGGUGACUGAUUCAUGUUUUAUAGAUGAGAAAAAAUCGCAUCAUCAGUAUGAAACUCCACCGGGUUGCUGUUUACAACGCAUAACGAGGUUCAUUUUACACGAUGAAGAUGUGUAUUAUGAGAUAAGAAGUGGCCCAGUCUCAAGAUAAUAAAGGUUCUUGGCUUCUUAGAAACUUACAAACGAUGGUGGAGCCUAGACUUGACUGGGGACAUCAACUUUUUCAGUUAAAGUUUGUGGCUUUCUCAUCCUACGGUAAAGUCAUCAUUUAUGGACUUUGUGUCCCCACUUGUCUUAGUCUACAGCUCCUUCCAGGAAUCUUCCUGAUUGAUUGGUUUUUCUGAAAGACAUUUUCAGAUCUGCUCGUCUGAUGGCUCUUUCUGCUUUGCCUCGCCUUUGUGAACACCAUGUCUUUCCUAGCUUCCACGGGCCAGAUGUCCGUAGAGGCUUUCUCAGCUACUUACUGAAGGAGUUCAGGGAGAAAGGAAUCGACGUCUUCAUAGACAAUGACAUAGAGAGGAGCAAGUUGAUUGGUCCCGAGCUCACAGAAGCUAUAAGAGGAUCGUUAAUUGCAGUUGUCUUGAUCUCGAAGAACUACGCUUCAUCAACAUGGUGUCUGAACGAGUUGGCGGAGAUCAUGAAGUGCAGGGAUGAAGAUAAGCAGACGGUGGAGGUGAUUUUCUAUGAAGUGGAUCCAUCUGACGUGAAAAAGCAGAAGGGAGACUUCGGAGCUGUCUUUGAGAAAACUUGUGCAGAGAAGACAACGGAGGAAAUUGAGAGAUGGAGGAAAGCUUUGCAGAUUGUGGCUCAACUCGCUGGUUACCAUACAAGUAACUUUGAUGAUGAUGCAGCCAUGAUUGAAAGAAUUGUUAUUGAUGUUUCGAACAAGCUCAAUGAUUAUACAACAUCAAAUGAUUCCAACAGCUUGGUUGGGAUUGAUAUUCAUAUCGGAGAGAUAGAGUCAUUGUUGUCCUUAGAAUCAGCUGAAGUUCGGAUGGUUGGUAUCUGGGGCCCUGCUGGAAUUGGUAAGACGACCAUCGCCAGAGCUUUAUAUAGACAGCUCUCUAGUAAGUUUACACAUGCUGCUUUUAUUGAGAGUAUCAAAGGAAAGUUUGAGCUAAACUAUCGAGACGAGCACGCCUUCAUGUUGCAUUUACAAGAACAACUUUUGUCUAAGACUUUAAAUCAGAAAGAUCUAAAAAUAGGUCAUCUGGGUGUGGCAAAGGCAAGGCUGAAGAACAAGAAGGUGCUUGUCGUUCUUGAUGAUGUGGAUGACUUAAAGCAGCUAGAAGCUAUGACUGACAAAACUUGCUGGUUUGGGCCUCAAAGUAGGAUUAUCAUCACGACAAAGGAUAAAAAGCUUUUGGUAGCACAUGAGAUCAACCAUAUUUACCAAGUGGGUUUUCCAUCUACAUCUGAAGCUCUUGAAAUUCUCUGUCUGUCUGCUUUUCGUCAAAAUUCACCUUCAUUAGGGUUUGAGGACAUGGCCAUAGAAGUUACACGGCUCGCCGGCCGUCUUCCUUUGGGUCUACGUGUUUUUGGCGCUUAUCUGCGAGGAAUGUCCAAAGAUCAGUGGAUACAUGCAUUGCCUCGACUUAGGACGAGUCUUGAUGGGGAUAUUGAGAAAGUAUUAAGGUUCAGCUAUGAUGCUUUAUGCAAGGAAGAUCAAGAAUUGUUUCUUCAUAUAGCAUGUUUUCUCAAAGGUGAAUGGAUUACUGACGUGGUGGAGUGUCUUGCGGAGAGUCGUUUGAACGUCAACCACGGGCUCCAUGUGUUGUUCGAUAAAUGUUUCAUAUCUUUACGCAAAUGGGGACGGUUGGCGGUGCAUAAUUUGCUUGAGCAAUUGGCUAAAGAUAUUGUCCGUAAACAGUCUGAUAAUCCUGGGAAACGUCAGUUCUUGGUGGAUGCUCAGGACAUUUGUGAUGUACUCGAGGAAAAUGCUGGCACUGAAACUAUUAGAGGAAUAGAUUUUGACUUAUCGGAAGUCAGGGGAAACUUAAUCAUUGACGAGCGAGCCUUUGAAGGGAUGUCUAGGCUCCAGUUCUUAAGAUUCCGGAAACGGGGUUUGUAUGAAAACACCAAACUUCUCUUACCCCAGGGUCUGAAGUUUAGAGCUAGUAAACUUAGAUUUCUUGAAUGGGAUCAGUUUCCGCUUACAUGUUUUCCUCGUGAGUUUCAACCACGGCGCCUUGUCAAACUUAUGAUGAAGCACAGCAAGCUUGAAAAGCUGUGGGAAGGACCUAUUCCGCUCCCAUGUCUGAAGCUGAUGGAGCUGUCUAGUUCCAGCUACCUCAAAGAACUUCCGGAUCUGUCUAAUGUCACUAAUCUUAAGACACUGAAUGCUUGUUAUUGCUCAAGUCUGUCGGAGAUCUCCUCCAUUGGGAAGUCCACUAGUCUCGAGGAGUUGAAUCUCGCUUGUUGCUUCGAGUUGAUUGUGAUCCCUUCUUCCAUCGGGAAUGCCAUUAAUCUCGAGAUAUUGAAUGUCGGGAUAUGCCAGGGUCUGGUUGAACUCCCAUCCUCUAUUUGGAGCCUCAAGAAGUUAAAGAAACUGUUAAUUUUUGGAUGCUCAAAGCUAAACCAUUUGGGGUCACAGUUGAGAAGCUUUCCUGAUUUUUCCGGAAACAUUACAGAAUUCGAUAUGAGUAAUACAGCGAUAGAAGAAUUCCCUUCAUCAAUCAUGGCUUUUUCGUGUCUUCGUAAGCUCUCAACAAUAACUGCGGAAAGCUUCAAGGUGUUUCCAGAUGUUCCUGACACCAUCGAAGUGAUACAUUUGCACAAUGCGGGAAUAGAAGAAAUUCCUCCCUCGAUUCAGAAUCUCUCACGUCUCACUGAACUGAGCAUGCUUAGCUGCAAGAAGUUAAAGGUCCUUCCAACCAACGUCAACCUGCAAUCUCUCCAUUCACUUGAUCUCAGUUCCUGCACACAAUUGAGAACGUUUCCAGAGAUAUCUACAAGCUUUAGAUUUCUUAAUCUGAGCAAUACUGCUAUAGAAGAAGUCCCUUCAUCCAUAUGGUCUUGGUCCAGUCUUCUUGAAUUGAUCUUGGAAGAUUGCAACAGCCUUCUGGUGUUCCAUAGUUUUCCUGACAACAUCGAAGAGUUGGACUUGGACUUGAGCAAUACGGGAACAGAUUUCCAAGGUGAGGGUCUGGACAGUGUUCAAACAUUAGGUAUAAACCUCAAAGGGUGCAAGAAUCUUGGUUCAUUGCCCCACAUUCCGCAUUUCGUCUCAACCCUUGAUGCAUCUAACUGUGAGUCGCUGGAGAGUAUAGAUGGCUUCUUUACCAAUCCAGAAAGAUGUCUCAGCUUUGCUAAUUGUUUCAAGCUGAGCGAAGCAGCGAGAGAACUCAUCGAGGAAUCGGAUUACAAGUUUGCGCUCUUACCUGGUGGAGAACUGCCUGCAGACUUUGAUCACCGAGCAAGAGAGGGUUUACUAACUGUCAAUUUGUAUCCGAGCCCUCUUCCUUUAUUCUUCAGAUUUAAAGCUUGUCUUUUGCUGCUUCAUAGACAAUAUGAUGAGGACGAGGAUGAAAGUGAGGAGGAUGAGGACGAGGAUGAAAGUGAGGAUGAGGAGGACGAGGAUGCCAGUGAGGAGGAUGAGGACAAUAAAUUGAUGUGCGACAUCCGGUGCGUUCAGAAUGGCGUCGAUAUUGGACGUGGAUCAUGCAAGUACAAGCUGCCCGCAAUACUGGGAUCCAAGGAGCAUCUGUAUUUCUUGAAAUCUUCCAUUUCACUAAACCUUCCUAAAACAGGUGUGAAUUUCAGCGAGCUUAAUUUUGAGUUCAAGACCACUAGUAAAUACUGGGAUGUAAAAGACUUUGCUGUACAAAUCUUGGAAGACCCUGAUGUUCAUGAUGACCAAGGAUGCUGUGAAGAUACUCACAACGAAGCUGAGUACAAUGAAACUGCUGACAUCAAGAUAGAGAAACUUACACGCUGGAACAAUGUGAAGAAGAACCUAUUUAAGAGGUUUCCGUGCGACAUGGAUGAAAGAGUAGAGAGGGCAGAAUAGCGACGAAGAAGAGGGAUUCGAAGAAAGUGCGUAAAAAUUUGAGUUCAAAAACCGAAAAGUUGAAACCAACGAUGAAAUAUUCAGUCGUGCGGCAUAAGUAGGAUAUUGAAAGUUAGGUUCCAAUGGUUCUUUCAAUUUCACGCCAGCGCGAUUUUUCCAAAGCCAAUGAAUCAAGAGUAAUUGCAACGUUGUGCCACUGGAAUGUAAUGCCACACAAUGAUUGAACCAGUGUGCCUCACUCACAUGUGUAGCCUUCUCAACUUCAACCCCGACCAAUACUCGUAAUGAUCUAUUGGAUGGAACCCCUAUGUUGUGCUUUCUCAACUCAUGCCUUUCUUAUCGGUUUUACUAAGUUUUGCGACUAAUAUCCCUUUUUUUACUGCAGCGGACAGCUCAAUUUGUGAAUUAAUUUAGAAGUUAUGUAUGGUCCAUCCUAUUAGUUUAAUAUACCGCUAUAUUAAUAUAGUUUUUUACAUUUGAUUGUUUUGUAUUUUUCCACAAACGCCUAAGCACAUUAUUGUCUGGAAAAUGUUAAAUGCAUGUAUACGCCACAACAACUACAAUACUAUAAUGUUUGUAAUCUAGUAUAGUUAACCAUU
Brassica napus (rape) is the source of this 4763-nucleotide RNA transcript. It is a transcript of the gene named disease resistance-like protein DSC2, with no coding region annotated. Lineage: Eukaryota; Viridiplantae; Streptophyta; Magnoliopsida; Brassicales; Brassicaceae. The transcript has 10 exons. The record is from RefSeq and is a predicted model, not a curated record.